UCCGCCCAUCCAUACACGUAUGUCUAUGAUUCUGUCAGACACGUAAGGUCGACUUCCUGUGCACGUUGCGUGACCUACACGUACGCGCUGUGAAUGACGUCAUGACGUUCAUUCGCUUCCCGGCAAACAACUGACCUUCCCAACCAACGUCGUUACAGAAGAUAACCACCUAACUGCUGUUAAACUGGUAUCGAAGUGGUUACAGCUGCUUGGAAAGGUCACACACAGGUUUUGAAUCCUACCUCCAGCUCUCACAGUUGUCGAACUGGUACUACCGAGCAGUGUAAACUGGGUAAAUAUGUACCCAUGGUAGCCACUGCUGACCCAGGACACUUGUUAUACUUUACUGCUGGAAGACAUCGACAUUCUAGGAUGACCAACAAGACCAGCAACUUUGGGCCCAGAUAAUUAAAUGGAAGACUGUAGCUCAGUCUUGACAGCAGUUGAGAUUAUAUAAGGUGCAACUGGAUCACAGCAACUCUUCAUUCUUCUGAGACACACACUGACUGUUUCUAGACGAAGUCAUCGUCAUCAUGCGUGAUGAUGAUCAUGGCAAUUUGAACUCACCCU
Molecule: long non-coding RNA, 570 nt
Organism: Scleropages formosus (Asian bonytongue)
Lineage: Eukaryota; Metazoa; Chordata; Actinopteri; Osteoglossiformes; Osteoglossidae
Source: Ensembl